CCUACGGGAGGCAGCAGUGAGGAAUAUUGGUCAAUGGACGAGAGUCUGAACCAGCCAAGUAGCGUGAAGGAUGACUGCCCUAUGGGGUGUAAAGUUCUGUCAGUUGGGACGAAAAAUGACGGUACCCACAGAGGAAGCACCGGCUAACACCGUGCCAGCAGCCGCGGUAAUACGGAGGGUGCAAGCGUUGUCCGGAAUCAUUGGGCGUAAAGGGUUCGUAGGCGGCAUGUAAAGUCAGGUGUUAAAGGCGCAGGCUCAACCGGUAAAUGGCACUUGAUACUUGCAAGGGUGAAUGCGGUAGAGGUAAAGGGAAUUCCUGGUGUAGCGGUGAAAUGCUUAGAUAUCAGGAGGAACAUCGGUGGCGUAGGCGCUUUACUGGGCCGUAAUUGACGCUGAGGAACGAAAGCCAGGGUAGCAAAUGGGAUUAGAUACCCCGGUAGUC
This 442-nucleotide ribosomal RNA is filed under the name uncultured bacterium. RNAcentral's name for it is "partial 16S ribosomal RNA". It matches the Rfam family "Bacterial small subunit ribosomal RNA", at positions 338 to 795 of the family's 1533-position model. The record is from RNAcentral.